AUUGAACGCUGGCGGAAUGCUUUACACAUGCAAGUCGAACGGCAACACGGACUUCGGUCUGGUGGCGAGUGGCGAACGGGUGAGUAACAUAUCGGAACGUAUCCAAUAAUGGGGGAUAACGAGUCGAAAGAUUCGCUAAUACCGCAUACGCCCUACGGGGGAAAGCUGGGGACCUUCGGGCCUGGCGUUAAUGGAGCGGCCGAUAUCUGAUUAGCUAGUUGGUGAGGUAAAGGCUCACCAAGGCGACGAUCAGUAGCUGGCCUGAGAGGACGACCAGCCACGCUGGAACUGAGACACGGUCCAGACUCCUACGGGAGGCAGCAGUGGGGAAUUUUGGACAAUGGGCGCAAGCCUGAUCCAGCCAUUCCGCGUGAGUGAAGAAGGCCUUCGGGUUGUAAAGCUCUUUCGCAAGGGAAGAAAACUUAGCCACUAACAUUGGUUGAGGUUGACGGUACCUUGAUAAGAAGCACCGGCUAACUACGUGCCAGCCGCCGCAGUAA
Molecule: ribosomal RNA, 500 nt
Filed under: uncultured bacterium
Lineage: Bacteria
Description: partial 16S ribosomal RNA
Rfam family: Bacterial small subunit ribosomal RNA
Source: RNAcentral